RNAcentral lists this ribosomal RNA (467 nucleotides) under uncultured bacterium. RNAcentral's name for it is "bacterial SSU rRNA". It matches the Rfam family "Bacterial small subunit ribosomal RNA", at positions 1 to 521 of the family's 1533-position model. The record is from RNAcentral.
UGAGAGUUUGAUCAUGGCUCAGGAUGAACGCUGGCGGUAUGCUUUACACAUGCAAGUCGAACGCAAGUUUUUAACUUGAGUGGCGGACGGGUGAGUAACACGUGAGAAUUCGCCUUUAGGCGGGGAAUAACCAUCGGAAACAAUGGCUAAUGCCCCUCGCAAGAGUGAAAGGAGUAAUCCACCCAAAGAGAAGCUCGCGGCGCAUUAGCUAGUUGGUGAGGUAACGGCUCACCAAGGCGACGAUGCGUAGCCGACCUGAGAGGGUGAUCGGCCACACUGGGACUGAGACACGGCCCAGACUCCUACGGGAGGCAGCAGUAGGGAAUCUUCCACAAUGGACGAAAGUCUGAUGGAGCAACGCCGCGUGAGCGAUGAAGGCCUUAGGGUUGUAAAGCUCUUUCGGCGGGGACGAUGAUGACGGUACCCGCAGAAGAAGCCCCGGCUAACUUCGUGCCAGCAGCCGCGGU